ACUAAGCGUACACGGUGGAUGCCCUGGCAGUCAGAGGCGAUGAAGGACGUGCUAAUCUGCGAUAAGCGUCGGUAAGGUGAUAUGAACCGUUAUAACCGGCGAUUUCCGAAUGGGGAAACCCAGUGUGAUUCGUCACACUAUCAUUAACUGAAUCCAUAGGUUAAUGAGGCGAACCGGGGGAACUGAAACAUCUAAGUACCCCGAGGAAAAGAAAUCAACCGAGAUUCCCCCAGUAGCGGCGAGCGAACGGGGAGCAGCCCAGAGCCUGAAUCAGUGUGUGUGUUAGUGGAAGCGUCUGGAAAGGCGUGCGAUACAGGGUGACAGCCCCGUACACAAAAAUGCACAUACUGUGAGCUCGAUGAGUAGGGCGGGACACGUGGUAUCCUGUCUGAAUAUGGGGGGACCAUCCUCCAAGGCUAAAUACUCCUGACUGACCGAUAGUGAACCAGUACCGUGAGGGAAAGGCGAAAAGAACCCCGGCGAGGGGAGUGAAAAAGAACCUGAAACCGUGUACGUACAAGCAGUGGGAGCACGCUUAGGCGUGUGACUGCGUACCUUUUGUAUAAUGGGUCAGCGACUUAUAUUCUGUAGCAAGGUUAACCGAAUAGGGGAGCCGAAGGGAAACCGAGUCUUAACUGGGCGUUAAGUUGCAGGGUAUAGACCCGAAACCCGGUGAUCUAGCCAUGGGCAGGUUGAAGGUUGGGUAACACUAACUGGAGGACCGAACCGACUAAUGUUGAAAAAUUAGCGGAUGACUUGUGGCUGGGGGUGAAAGGCCAAUCAAACCGGGAGAUAGCUGGUUCUCCCCGAAAGCUAUUUAGGUAGCGCCUCGUGAAUUCAUCUCCGGGGGUAGAGCACUGUUUCGGCAAGGGGGUCAUCCCGACUUACCAACCCGAUGCAAACUGCGAAUACCGGAGAAUGUUAUUACGGGAGACACACGGCGGGUGCUAACGUCCGUCGUGAAGAGGGAAACAACCCAGACCGCCAGCUAAGGUCCCAAAGUCAUGGUUAAGUGGGAAACGAUGUGGGAAGGCCCAGACAGCCAGGAUGUUGGCUUAGAAGCAGCCAUCAUUUAAAGAAAGCGUAAUAGCUCACUGGUCGAGUCGGCCUGCGCGGAAGAUGUAACGGGGCUAAACCAUGCACCGAAGCUGCGGCAGCGACGCUUAUGCGUUGUUGGGUAGGGGAGCGUUCUGUAAGCCUGUGAAGGUGUGCUGUGAGGUAUGCUGGAGGUAUCAGAAGUGCGAAUGCUGACAUAAGUAACGAUAAAGCGGGUGAAAAGCCCGCUCGCCGGAAGACCAAGGGUUCCUGUCCAACGUUAAUCGGGGCAGGGUGAGUCGACCCCUAAGGCGAGGCCGAAAGGCGUAGUCGAUGGGAAACAGGUUAAUAUUCCUGUACUUGGUGUUACUGCGAAGGGGGGACGGAGAAGGCUAUGUUGGCCGGGCGACGGUUGUCCCGGUUUAAGCGUGUAGGCUGGUUUUCCAGGCAAAUCCGGAAAAUCAAGGCCGAGGCGUGAUGACGAGGCACUACGGUGCUGAAGCAACAAAUGCCCUGCUUCCAGGAAAAGCCUCUAAGCAUCAGGUAACAUCAAAUCGUACCCCAAACCGACACAGGUGGUCAGGUAGAGAAUACCAAGGCGCUUGAGAGAACUCGGGUGAAGGAACUAGGCAAAAUGGUGCCGUAACUUCGGGAGAAGGCACGCUGAUACGUAGGUGAAGCGACUUGCUCGUGGAGCUGAAAUCAGUCGAAGAUACCAGCUGGCUGCAACUGUUUAUUAAAAACACAGCACUGUGCAAACACGAAAGUGGACGUAUACGGUGUGACGCCUGCCCGGUGCCGGAAGGUUAAUUGAUGGGGUUAGCGCAAGCGAAGCUCUUGAUCGAAGCCCCGGUAAACGGCGGCCGUAACUAUAACGGUCCUAAGGUAGCGAAAUUCCUUGUCGGGUAAGUUCCGACCUGCACGAAUGGCGUAAUGAUGGCCAGGCUGUCUCCACCCGAGACUCAGUGAAAUUGAACUCGCUGUGAAGAUGCAGUGUACCCGCGGCAAGACGGAAAGACCCCGUGAACCUUUACUAUAGCUUGACACUGAACAUUGAGCCUUGAUGUGUAGGAUAGGUGGGAGGCUUUGAAGUGUGGACGCCAGUCUGCAUGGAGCCGACCUUGAAAUACCACCCUUUAAUGUUUGAUGUUCUAACGUGGACCCGUGAUCCGGGUUGCGGACAGUGUCUGGUGGGUAGUUUGACUGGGGCGGUCUCCUCCUAAAGAGUAACGGAGGAGCACGAAGGUUGGCUAAUCCUGGUCGGACAUCAGGAGGUUAGUGCAAUGGCAUAAGCCAGCUUGACUGCGAGCGUGACGGCGCGAGCAGGUGCGAAAGCAGGUCAUAGUGAUCCGGUGGUUCUGAAUGGAAGGGCCAUCGCUCAACGGAUAAAAGGUACUCCGGGGAUAACAGGCUGAUACCGCCCAAGAGUUCAUAUCGACGGCGGUGUUUGGCACCUCGAUGUCGGCUCAUCACAUCCUGGGGCUGAAGUAGGUCCCAAGGGUAUGGCUGUUCGCCAUUUAAAGUGGUACGCGAGCUGGGUUUAGAACGUCGUGAGACAGUUCGGUCCCUAUCUGCCGUGGGCGCUGGAGAACUGAGGGGAGCUGCUCCUAGUACGAGAGGACCGGAGUGGACGCAUCACUGGUGUUCGGGUUGUCAUGCCAAUGGCACUGCCCGGUAGCUAAAUGCGGAAGAGAUAAGUGCUGAAAGCAUCUAAGCACGAAACUUGCCCCGAGAUGAGUUCUCCCUGACCCUUUAAGGGUCCUGAAGGAACGUUGAAGACGACGACGUUGAUAGGCCGGGUGUGUAAGCGCAGCGAUGCGUUGAGCUAACCGGUACUAAUGAACCGUGAGGCUUAACC
This 2893-nucleotide ribosomal RNA is filed under the name Shigella flexneri. RNAcentral's name for it is "bacterial LSU rRNA". It matches the Rfam family "Bacterial large subunit ribosomal RNA". The record is from RNAcentral. Lineage: Bacteria; Pseudomonadati; Pseudomonadota; Gammaproteobacteria; Enterobacterales; Enterobacteriaceae.